This is a non-coding RNA of Arachis ipaensis, 545 nucleotides long. Lineage: Eukaryota; Viridiplantae; Streptophyta; Magnoliopsida; Fabales; Fabaceae. The record is from RefSeq and is a predicted model, not a curated record.
AAAAGGGGGCUCCAAGGUCCAAAACAAAAUAAACUAAACUUUAGAAAUUCUAGCAAACAUGACUUUCUUUUUAUUCCCAUCUAGCAAAGGGGCAAGAAAAGAGGGUGGAGUGAUGAAACGAUGAACACUCACCGGGAGAUUGUGGGCGUGCUUCGCCAGAGCAUCUGUGCAAAAGUUGCUCUCUUUGAAAACGUGGUUGACAUUGAAAUCUCCGGAGUUGGCUUGGAGAUCUUGAAUGGCCCGAAUAAGGGAGGUGCAACUAUGGAGAGGGAUUGAGCUAUUCUACUGCAGCUUCACUGCACAGCUGUAAUAGUGACUUUCCCAAUAUUCAUCAUGAAUCCUGCCACAAUCAUGUCGUUAGAAUCUCUAAUUAGCCCGCCACACGCACCUGAAUCCCUUGCUUGAAGAACUGAGCCGUCGACAUUAACCUUGUACCAUCCUUCAUCUGGCAGUUUCCAUCCAACUAGAACAGAGCAAGAAGCUUGGAGGAUGUCAUUACUUUUCUCAGUAAGAGCAAGAAUAUCAUGGUGGAAAAAAAAAAGUAG